Molecule: ribosomal RNA, 387 nt
Filed under: uncultured bacterium
Lineage: Bacteria
Description: bacterial SSU rRNA
Rfam family: Bacterial small subunit ribosomal RNA
Source: RNAcentral
GGCGUGCUUAACACAUGCAAGUCGAGCGAAGCACUUUUAAGGAAGUUUUCGGAUGGAAUUAAAAGUGACUGAGCGGCGGACGGGUGAGUAACGCGUGGGUAACCUGCCUCAUACAGGGGGAUAACAGUUGGAAACGACUGCUAAUACCGCAUAAGCGCACAGUGUCACAUGACACCGUGUGAAAAACUCCGGUGGUAUGAGAUGGACCCGCGUCUGAUUAGGUAGUUGGUGAGGUAACGGCCCACCAAGCCGACGAUCAGUAGCCGACCUGAGAGGGUGACCGGCCACAUUGGGACUGAGACACGGCCCAAACUCCUACGGGAGGCAGCAGUGGGGAAUAUUGGACAAUGGGGGAAACCCUGAUCCAGCGACGCCGCGUGAGUGAAG